UACAGAGGUCCCAAGCGUUGUUCGGAUUUACUGGGCGUAAAGGGUGCGUAGGUGGUGAGGUAAGUCUGAUGUGAAAUCUCCGAGCUUAACUCGGAAAUGGCAUUGGAAACUACCUUGCUAGAGGGUUGGAGGGGGGACUGGAAUACUUGGUGUAGCAGUGAAAUGCGUAGAUAUCAAGUGGAACACCAGUGGCGAAGGCGGCUCACUGGCCCGGUACUGACGCUGAGGUGCGAAAGCGUGGGGAGCAAACAGG
Molecule: ribosomal RNA, 253 nt
Filed under: uncultured bacterium
Lineage: Bacteria
Description: partial 16S ribosomal RNA
Rfam family: Bacterial small subunit ribosomal RNA
Source: RNAcentral